UAAUAAAUGGUGUAAAGGCACGUUUCAUUUUGGUUGAAAAAGAGAAAGUGUAACUCUUUCUUUAUUAG
RNAcentral lists this transfer RNA (68 nucleotides) under Pollicipes polymerus. RNAcentral describes it as "tRNA-Gln". The record is from RNAcentral. Lineage: Eukaryota; Metazoa; Arthropoda; Thecostraca; Pollicipedomorpha; Pollicipedidae.